UACGUAGGGUGCAAGCGUUACUCGGAGUUACUGGGCGUAAAGCGUGCGCAGGCGGUUUUGUAAGUCUGUCGUGAAAUCCCCGGGCUUAACCUGGGAAUGGCGAUGGAGACUGCAAGGCUAGAGUUUGGCAGAGGGGGGUAGAAUUCCACGUGUAGCAGUGAAAUGCGUAGAGAUGUGGAGGAACACCGAUGGCGAAGGCAGCCCCCUGGGUCAAAACUGACGCUCAUGCACGAAAGCGUGGGGAGCAAACAGG
This 253-nucleotide ribosomal RNA is filed under the name uncultured bacterium. RNAcentral describes it as "partial 16S ribosomal RNA". It matches the Rfam family "Bacterial small subunit ribosomal RNA", at positions 524 to 776 of the family's 1533-position model. The record is from RNAcentral.